CGAAAGAAAGAUUAAUACCCGAUGUCAUAGUCCUACCGCAUGAUGGGAUUAUUAAAGAAUUUCGGUAUGGGAUGGGGAUGCGUUCCAUUAGUUAGUUGGCGGGGUAACGGCCCACCAAGACAACGAUGGAUAGGGGUUCUGAGAGGAAGGUCCCCCACAUUGGAACUGAGACACGGUCCAAACUCCUACGGGAGGCAGCAGUGAGGAAUAUUGGUCAAUGGACGAGAGUCUGAACCAGCCAAGUAGCGUGAAGGAUGACUGCCCUAUGGGUUGUAAACUUCUUUUAUAUGGGAAUAAAACGUUCCACGUGUGGGAUUUUGUAUGUACCAUAUGAAUAAGGAUCGGCUAACUCCGUGCCAGCAGCCGCGGUAAUACGGAGGAUCCGAGCGUUAUCCGGAUUUAUUGGGUUUAAAGGGAGCGUAGGUGGAUUGUUAAGUCAGUUGUGAAAGUUUGCGGCUCAACCGUAAAAUUGCAGUUGAAACUGGCAGUCUUGAGUACAGUAGAGGUGGGCGGAAUUCGUGGUGUAGCGGUGAAAUGCUUAGAUAUCACGAAGAACUCCGAUUGCGAAGGCAGCUCACUGGACUGCAACUGACACUGAGGCUCGAAAGUGUGGGUAUCGAACAGGAUUAGAUACCCUGGUAGUCCACACAGUAAACGAU
Molecule: ribosomal RNA, 659 nt
Filed under: uncultured bacterium
Lineage: Bacteria
Description: bacterial SSU rRNA
Rfam family: Bacterial small subunit ribosomal RNA
Source: RNAcentral